Molecule: long non-coding RNA, 1141 nt
Organism: Lynx canadensis (Canada lynx)
Lineage: Eukaryota; Metazoa; Chordata; Mammalia; Carnivora; Felidae
Exons: 3
Source: RefSeq, a predicted model, not a curated record
GGGCCAGCUCAGAUUUGAAGGGUGAUGAAACCGACUCUGCCUCUCAGUGGGAAGAGCUGCCAGGCCACACCGCAAAGGGCCUGCGCAAAGGAACAUGUAGACGGUAGGAGCCUCACUUGCAACAAUCUGCCAGACUACAGGAUAUUGAUUUGUUGUUGGGGACUCUGCAGACACAUGACAAGAGUUGAGGUUGUAAACAUGGGCACGUAAGCCACACUCCCAGAUGACCAGUUUUAAUUUGACCUUUGAAUCCAAGAGCCAGCUGAGGCACGGUGUGGAAUGCAUCUGUGUGCUGGGGAGCCCAAUCAUUCUGACCAUCUUAACCGUCACGACGAAUCGUUGCCUGCGGGUGUCUUCUGAAGCGAUCAACACCAAUCUUCAGGAGAGCUGAAAUGUCCCAAUCAGCCACAUGGCGCCAGUUCGCUGGGCGUGUGUGGGUCCAGGUUCCUGGUUAAGAACAUUAAAUAAGAAACACAACUACACGAACCAUCCCACGAUUGCCACUGUGACCUGCAUGUAAAGAACAAGAAGACAGAACGCUAGGGCACAUGGGAGGCAGAAACCAGUCACGCAGGGUGGGGAAGACUCCACCAGGCGGAGAGGUGUGCAGGCUCGAUUCAAAGAUAAAGGAAGGCAGCUGAGAGUAGCGAGUGUGUACCACCUGCGGGUGGGUGCGUCAGGUGGGUGUGUCUGUGCACCGGUGUUGCAGGGAGAGCGAGACGGGAGGCCAGGAGCAACUACGGACUGUCAUGCCCUCAUGGGAGCUCAUGUGCCCACACCUCUCCUACUUUUCUGGUUACGUUGUGAAGACAGCAUCCCAUUGUGAAAUUACUGGACCACAAUGAUUUGAAGGAAUCCUGUCUGUAGGAUUUUGACACAUUGGAAACAAAGUGUUGCUCAAGAUUCUGCAUUCUGGAUGCCAACACCAAGGCGUUAUCUCAUUGCAACUGGCACCAAGGACGGAGCGAUGCCGCGGAAAAGGUGGUAGCCUGGAAACGGUGUCGGCCUCAGGGCUGUGCUAUUAUUAUCCUUCACUCUGUAUCAGCUAAAGUGAGUGACUGUGAGAGAAAUGACUUGAAGAAACGUAUUUGGUUACUUAAAACACACGGAAAAGAAACGUAUUAUUAAAAUAGCAAAGCUC